Non-coding RNA from Merluccius polli (Benguela hake), 75 nucleotides. The record is from the annotation of a GenBank genome assembly. Lineage: Eukaryota; Metazoa; Chordata; Actinopteri; Gadiformes; Merlucciidae.
GCAGAAUAGUUGAGUGGUUAGGGUGUUUGACUCACAGCCGAAAGGUUCUGGGUUCAAUCCCCAAUGUCCCUUGCA